GAUGAACGCUAGCGGCAGGCUUAACACAUGCAAGUCGAGGGGUAACGAUGGUGCUUGCACCAGUCGACGACCGGCGCACGGGUGAGUAACGCGUAUGCAACCUGCCAUCCACUGGGGGAUAGCCCGGAGAAAUCCGGAUUAAUACCCCAUACAACCGUAAAGCCACAUGGUUUAACGGGAAAAGCUCUGGCGGUGGGUGAUGGGCAUGCGUGGCAUUAGUUAGUUGGUGGGGUAACGGCCCACCAAGGCGACGAUGCCUAGGGGGCCUGAGAGGGUAGUCCCCCACACUGGUACUGAGACACGGACCAGACUCCUACGGGAGGCAGCAGUGAGGAAUAUUGGUCAAUGGGCGCAAGCCUGAACCAGCCAUGCCGCGUGCAGGAUGACGGCCCUACGGGUUGUAAACUGCUUUUGCACGGGAAGAACCUCCCCGACGUGUCGGGGAUUGACUGUACCGUGAGAAUAAGCAUCGGCUAACUCCGUGCCAGCAGCCGCGGUAAUACGGAGGAUGCUAGCGUUAUCCGGAUUUAUUGGGUUUAAAGGGUGCGUAGGCUGGCGGAUAAGUCAGUGGUGAAAUCCUGCAGCUUAACUGUAGAAUUGCCAUUGAUACUGUUCGUCUUGAGUUCGGUUGAGGUAGGCGGAAUGUGUAAUGUAGCGGUGAAAUGCUUAGAUAUUACACAGAACACCGAUUGCGUAGGCAGCUUACUAAGCCGUUACUGACGCUGAAGCACGAAAGCGUGGGGAGCGAACAGGAUUAGAUACCCUGGUAGUCCACGCCGUAAACGAUGAUCACUAGCUGUUGGCGAUACAUUGUCAGCGGCAAAGCGAAAGCAUUAAGUGAUCCACCUGGGGAGUACGGCCGCAAGGUUGAAACUCAAAGGAAUUGACGGGGGCCCGCACAAGCGGUGGAACAUGUGGUUUAAUUCGAUGAUACGCGAGGAACACUUACCUGGGCUUAAAUGUUGGGUGCAUUCCCGGGAAACCGGGAUUCCCUUCGGGGCUUCCAACAAGGUGCUGCAUGGUUGUCGUCAGCUCGUGCCGUGAGGUGUCGGGUUAAGUCCCAUAACGAGCGCAACCCCUAUCGUUAGUUGCCAUCGGGUCAUGCCGGGGACUCUAGCGAAACUGCCGGUGUAAACCGCGAGGAAGGUGGGGAUGACGUCAAAUCAGCACGGCCCUUAUGUCCAGGGCUACACACGUGUUACAAUGGCCGGUACAGAGGGCAGCUACCUGGUGACAGGGUGCAAAUCUCGAAAGCCGGUCCUAGUUCGGAUUGGAGUCUGCAACUCGACUUCAUGAAGCUGGAAUCGCUAGUAAUCGCGCAUCAGCCAUGGCGCGGUGAAUACGUUCCCGGGCAUUGUACACACCGCCCGUCAAGCCAUGGAAGCCGGGGGUACACUGAAGUCUGCAACCGC
Molecule: ribosomal RNA, 1412 nt
Filed under: uncultured organism
Description: bacterial SSU rRNA
Rfam family: Bacterial small subunit ribosomal RNA
Source: RNAcentral